GACGAACGCUGGCGGCGUGCUUAACACAUGCAAGUCGAACGGAAAGGCCCUGCUUUUGUGGGGUGCUCGAGUGGCGAACGGGUGAGUAACACGUGAGUAACCUGCCCUUGACUUUGGGAUAACUUCAGGAAACUGGGGCUAAUACCGGAUAGGAGCUCCUGCUGCAUGGUGGGGGUUGGAAAGUUUCGGCGGUUGGGGAUGGACUCGCGGCUUAUCAGCUUGUUGGUGGGGUAGUGGCUUACCAAGGCUUUGACGGGUAGCCGGCCUGAGAGGGUGACCGGCAACAUGGGGAUUGGGAUAGGGCCAGAACCCCUCCGGGAGCCAGAGGGGGGAAUAUUGCACAAUGGGCGGAAGCCUGAUGCAGCAACGCCGCGUGCGGGAUGACGGCCUUCGGGUUGUAAACCGCUUUCGCCUGUGACGAAGCGUGAGUGACGGUAAUGGGUAAAGAAGCACCGGCUAACUACGUG
This 467-nucleotide ribosomal RNA is filed under the name uncultured bacterium. RNAcentral describes it as "partial 16S ribosomal RNA". It matches the Rfam family "Bacterial small subunit ribosomal RNA", at positions 28 to 507 of the family's 1533-position model. The record is from RNAcentral.